This is a long non-coding RNA of Dermacentor albipictus, 309 nucleotides long. RefSeq lists it as uncharacterized. NCBI's taxonomy places the organism in Eukaryota, Metazoa, Arthropoda, Arachnida, Ixodida, Ixodidae. The record is from RefSeq and is a predicted model, not a curated record.
CUUCGCCUGUCAUCGAAGGCCACAGCCCAGAAGCAUUCCUUGACAGCCAAGAUGUAGUGUGCCGGCUUUUCAUCGCCCAUGCUCUGAACAAAAUACAGGAUUUCAAGACUCGCCAAUGAAUCAAUCCUUGCAUCUGCUGCAGCUUCGCCUGCAACAAUAAAUGCAACAAUGGCCAACAUUCUUCAAUAAGGUCUUGCCAUCAUAUUGUCGUCCUCACCCCCUUCUCUCAGCGUGGAGUUCAAGGUCAGAAGGGUGUCUAUGAGAGCGAGCUCUAUAUAUUUGGGUAAUUAAAGUGUUUUUAUCUCUUUA